GUCAAGUCAUCAUGCCCCUUAUGCCCAGGGCUGCAAACAUGCUACAAUGGCCGGUACAAAGGGCUGCGAAACCGCGAGGUUGAGCGAAUCCCGUAAAGCCGGUCUCAGUUCGGAUCGGAGUCUGCAACUCGACUCCAUGAAGCCGGAGUCGCUAGUAAUCGCGGAUCAGCAAAGCCGCGGUGAAUACGUUCUCGGGGAUU
RNAcentral lists this ribosomal RNA (200 nucleotides) under uncultured organism. RNAcentral describes it as "partial small subunit ribosomal RNA". It matches the Rfam family "Bacterial small subunit ribosomal RNA", at positions 1184 to 1378 of the family's 1533-position model. The record is from RNAcentral.